CAGCCGCCGCGGUAAUACGUAGGGGGCAAGCGUUAUCCGGAAUUACUGGGUGUAAAGGGAGCGUAGACGGUUAGACAAGUCUGAAGUGAAAUGCCGGGGCUCAACCCCGGAGCUGCUUUGGGAACUGUAGAACUGGAGUGUCGGAGGGGUAAGCGGAAUUCCCAGUGUAGCGGUGAAAUGCGUAGAUAUUGGGAGGAACACCGGCGGCGAAGGCGGCUUACUGGACGACAACUGACGUUGAGGCGCGAAAGCCAGGGGAGCGAACGGGAUUAGAUACCCCCGUAGUCCCUGUCUCUUAUAC
Molecule: ribosomal RNA, 301 nt
Filed under: uncultured bacterium
Lineage: Bacteria
Description: partial 16S ribosomal RNA
Rfam family: Bacterial small subunit ribosomal RNA
Source: RNAcentral